UCAUUUGGAGAGGGGGAGUCUGGUGCCAGCAGCCGCGGUAAUUCCAGCUCCAAAAGCGUAUAUUAAAGUUGUUGCAGUUAAAAAGCUCGUAGUUGAACCUUGGGCUUGGCUGGCCGGUCCAUCUUUUUUGAUGCGUACUGGACCCAGCCGAGCCUUUCCUUCUGGCUAGCCUUUUUGGCGAACCAGGACUUUUACUUUGAAAAAAUUAGAGUGUUCAAAGCAGGCCUUUGCUCGAAUAUAUUAGCAUGGAAUAAUAGAAUAGGACGUUAUGGUUCUAUUUUGUUGGUUUCUAGGACCAUCGUAAUGAUUAAUAGGGACGGUCGGGGGUAUCAGUAUUCAGUAGUCAGAGGUGAAAUUCUUGGAUUUACUGAAGACUAACUACUGCGAAAGCAUUUACCAAGGACGUUUUCAUUAAUCAAGAACGAAAGUUAGGGGAUCGAAGAUGAUCAGAUACCGUCGAGCAACCUC
Molecule: ribosomal RNA, 468 nt
Filed under: uncultured Candida
Lineage: Eukaryota; Fungi; Ascomycota; Saccharomycetes; Saccharomycetales
Description: SSU rRNA
Rfam family: Eukaryotic small subunit ribosomal RNA
Source: RNAcentral